RNAcentral lists this ribosomal RNA (959 nucleotides) under human gut metagenome. Its description in RNAcentral is "bacterial SSU rRNA". It matches the Rfam family "Bacterial small subunit ribosomal RNA", at positions 8 to 987 of the family's 1533-position model. The record is from RNAcentral.
AGAGUUUGAUUCUGGCUCAGAACGAACGCUGGCGGCGUGGAUAAGACAUGCAAGUCGAACGAGAGAAUUGCUAGCUUGCUAAUAAUUCUCUAGUGGCGCACGGGUGAGUAACACGUGAGUAACCUGCCCCCGAGAGCGGGAUAGCCCUGGGAAACUGGGAUUAAUACCGCAUAGUAUCGAAAGAUUAAAGCAGCAAUGCGCUUGGGGAUGGGCUCGCGGCCUAUUAGUUAGUUGGUGAGGUAACGGCUCACCAAGGCGAUGACGGGUAGCCGGUCUGAGAGGAUGUCCGGCCACACUGGAACUGAGACACGGUCCAGACACCUACGGGUGGCAGCAGUCGAGAAUCAUUCACAAUGGGGGAAACCCUGAUGGUGCGACGCCGCGUGGGGGAAUGAAGGUCUUCGGAUUGUAAACCCCUGUCAUGUGGGAGCAAAUUAAAAAGAUAGUACCACAAGAGGAAGAGACGGCUAACUCUGUGCCAGCAGCCGCGGUAAUACAGAGGUCUCAAGCGUUGUUCGGAAUCACUGGGCGUAAAGCGUGCGUAGGCUGUUUCGUAAGUCGUGUGUGAAAGGCGCGGGCUCAACCCGCGGACGGCACAUGAUACUGCGAGACUAGAGUAAUGGAGGGGGAACCGGAAUUCUCGGUGUAGCAGUGAAAUGCGUAGAUAUCGAGAGGAACACUCGUGGCGAAGGCGGGUUCCUGGACAUUAACUGACGCUGAGGCACGAAGGCCAGGGGAGCGAAAGGGAUUAGAUACCCCUGUAGUCCUGGCAGUAAACGGUGCACGCUUGGUGUGCGGGGAAUCGACCCCCUGCGUGCCGGAGUUAACGCGUUAAGCGUGCCGCCUGGGGAGUACGGUCGCAAGAUUAAAACUCAAAGAAAUUGACGGGGACCCGCACAAGCGGUGGAGUAUGUGGCUUAAUUCGAUGCAACGCGAAGAACCUUACCUGGGCUUGACAU